Molecule: ribosomal RNA, 426 nt
Filed under: uncultured bacterium
Lineage: Bacteria
Description: partial 16S ribosomal RNA
Rfam family: Bacterial small subunit ribosomal RNA
Source: RNAcentral
GUGAGGAAUUUUCCGCAAUGGGCGAAAGCCUGACGGAGCAAUGUCGCGUGAAGGAUGAAGGCCUAUGGGUUGUAAACUUCUUUUCUCAGAAAAGAAUUAUGACGGUAUCUGAGGAAUAAGCAUCGGCUAACUCUGUGCCAGCAGCCGCGGUAAGACAGAGGAUGCAAGCGUUAUCCGGAAUGAUUGGGCGUAAAGCGUCUGUAGGUUGUUUAAAAAGUAUUCUGUCAAAGAUUAGGGCUUAACCCUAGAUAGGCAGAAUAAACUUUUAAGAUAGAGUUUGGUAGAGGAAGAAGGAAUUCCCGGUGGAGCGGUGAAAUGCGUAGAUAGCGGGAGGAACACCAAAGGCGAAGGCACUCUGCUGGGCCAAUACUAACACUGAGAGACGAAAGCGAGGGGAGCAAAUGGGAUUAGAAACCCGUGUAGUCC